This 442-nucleotide ribosomal RNA is filed under the name uncultured bacterium. Its description in RNAcentral is "partial 16S ribosomal RNA". It matches the Rfam family "Bacterial small subunit ribosomal RNA", at positions 338 to 795 of the family's 1533-position model. The record is from RNAcentral.
CCUACGGGUGGCAGCAGUGGGGAAUAUUGGGCAAUGGGCGCAAGCCUGACCCAGCAACGCCGCGUGAAGGAAGAAGGCUUUCGGGUUGUAAACUUCUUUUAAGAGGGAAGAGUAGAAGACGGUACCUGUCGAAUAAGACACGGCUAACUACGUGCCAGGAGCCGCAGUAAUACGUAGGUGGCAAGCGUUGUCCGGAUUUACUGGGUGUAAAGGGCGUGUAGCCGGGUUGACAAGUCAGAUGUGAAAUCCUGCGGCCUAACCGCAGAACUGCAGUUGAAACUGUUGCUCUUGAGUGGUGGAGAGGCAGGCGGAAUUCGUGGUGUAGCGGUGAAAUGCGUAGAUAUCACGCGGAACACCAGUGGCGAAGGCGGCAUGCUGGAGAGCAACUGACGGUGAGGCGCGAAAGCGUGGGGAGCGAACAGGAUUAGAUACCCGAGUAGUC